This 442-nucleotide ribosomal RNA is filed under the name uncultured bacterium. Its description in RNAcentral is "partial 16S ribosomal RNA". It matches the Rfam family "Bacterial small subunit ribosomal RNA", at positions 338 to 795 of the family's 1533-position model. The record is from RNAcentral.
CCUACGGGUGGCUGCAGUGGGGGAUAUUGGACAAUGGGCGCAAGCCUGACCCAGCAACGCCGCGUGAGGGAAGAAGGCUUUCGGGUUGUAAACUUCUUUUAAGAGGGAAGAGGCGAAGACGGUACCUCUUGAAUAAGCCACGGCUAAAUACGUGCCAGCAGCCGCGGUAAUACGUAGGGGGCAAGCGUUUUCCGGAUUUACUGGGUGUAAAGGGCGUGCAGGCGGGCUGACAAGCCAGAUGUGAAAUCCGGGGGCUCAACCCCCGAACUGCAUUUGAAACUGUUGGUCUGGAGUAUCGGAGAGGCAGGCGGAAUUCCUAGUGUAGCGGUGAAAUGCGUAGAUAUUAGGAGGAACACCAGUGGCGAAGGCGGCCUGCUGGACGACAACUGACGGUGAGGCUCGAAAGCGUGGGGAGCAAACAGGAUUAGAUACCCGGGUAGUC